UUUUCUCACUAGGAAGUGAAGCACAUGACCAGGCGCAGUUGAUGUCAGAGUUUCAUACUGUGCAAAGUUCAGUCAACCAGAUUGGGAGGCAUGUCUCAGCCGGCCACUCACUGAGUGCUGUGACAUGUGAAGCCAGAGGAAAACCUUCUGUCCAGCCAUAGGUCUACGUACACAAACCUUAGCAAACACUUGAGAUGCCACCCACCAAACAACAGGAGCCAGUUGGAGAAAUGGACAGAAUCAAUAAGGAGAACGGGGAACUUAGUGCGUCAGGGGAGAGUUCAGAGAGCAUAGAAGUGAAAACGACACUAAUCCAAAGUGAGACAAAUGGGGACCUGAAAGCACAUGAGGAUCCAGUGGUGCUUCUGAAAGAUCAACUAACUCAGCUGGGUACUAUAAGCCAGCGGACACCAGAACAAAGAGACCAAGAGCUUACCCAACUUCUGCUUCUGUUCAUCCAGGUCUCAGAGAGCAGCAGUGUCCUUGAUGAUCUGGAUCUCCAGGGCUUGGCGCUGCAGGUUGGAGAAGCUCUUGUCUGUCACAUACAGCAGAGAGUGGCAGAAAAGCCUGCAGGUACCCAAAAAUAACAUUUGCAAA
Molecule: long non-coding RNA, 597 nt
Filed under: Sinocyclocheilus anshuiensis
Lineage: Eukaryota; Metazoa; Chordata; Actinopteri; Cypriniformes; Cyprinidae
Description: lncRNA (ENSSANG00000035371.1)
Source: RNAcentral